This 426-nucleotide long non-coding RNA is filed under the name Helianthus annuus (common sunflower). Its description in RNAcentral is "hypothetical non coding rna". The stretch from base 186 to 274 matches the Rfam family "Small nucleolar RNA R11/Z151". The record is from RNAcentral. Lineage: Eukaryota; Viridiplantae; Streptophyta; Magnoliopsida; Asterales; Asteraceae.
AUUAGUGCAGUGAUGAAGCAUAUAUUGUGGACUAGAGUUUCUGAAAUUGGGCUCUUCUUCCCAUUUUAUUUUGACGACAAACCCUUGGCUGUCUGAGCACUCUACUUUCAUCUUAUUCUUAAUUUCUUAGACUGUUUUUUUUUUUAAUAUUCUGAGUUUAUUUAUUGUUUUUAAAAUUAGGUUAAGAGCUAAUGAUGAGAAAUACAAUUAUCUUAGCGGAUUUCAGUGAGAUUACUUUUAAUCAAUGAUCUGAUUGUUACACACACUGAAGCUCUUAAUAUUUUUUUUAAUAAAUGGGAUGUAAAUAAUAAUAAUAGCAGUGAUGAGGUUAAACACAUGAGGAUGUGUUUAGGGCAGUGGACAAAACGAGUAAAACCGUUUUGCCGUGAUCCCCAAUUUAAACGACUUCUCCUUCCACUGAGCUUU